Herpailurus yagouaroundi (jaguarundi) is the source of this 152-nucleotide long non-coding RNA. RefSeq lists it as uncharacterized. The transcript has 3 exons. NCBI's taxonomy places the organism in Eukaryota, Metazoa, Chordata, Mammalia, Carnivora, Felidae. The record is from RefSeq and is a predicted model, not a curated record.
AAAGUAAUGCUGGCUUCAUAGAAUGAGUCUGGAAGUUUUCCUUCCCUUUCUUUUUUCUUGGAACAGCUUGAGAAGGAUAGGUAUUACCUCUGCUUUAAAGUCUGGUGGAAUUCCCCAGGGAAACAAUCUGGUUGCUUAUUUGGAGACAACAG